RNAcentral lists this long non-coding RNA (1799 nucleotides) under Marmota monax (woodchuck). Lineage: Eukaryota; Metazoa; Chordata; Mammalia; Rodentia; Sciuridae. The record is from RNAcentral.
GUUCUGGUGGCUUUUCCUGACUUUACUUCAUUGGAAACAAGCUCUCAGGUGAUGAGGGCAGGUCCUAUAUUCCACCUAAAUCAAACAGAUGUAAAGGAAGUCUGGCCCCAGCAGCAGCCUCUCAGCAUCCACUUUGUGCCAGGAGUCCAGAGGACAUGCUCUGUACUGCCUGGAGCUUGAGGUCAAAGGUCUGCUUGGCUGCUGAGGUCCUGACUCAUUGGCUCCCACCCAGCCCAUUCGAGUCAUUGCCUCUGGUUGCCCGGCCAGGUCCCUGGCCCACCCCCUGCACAGCUGGGUAGCAUUAAGAACUUGGCCCUCUCGAACACGCCUGGGCUCUGCUGGGCCUCUCCCUUGCCACUGCUGUUGUCAGAGACCGAUGGAGGUUGGGAAGCGAGGGAAGAAUGCGGUUAUUUGAGGCCAGGUUGAAACGGGGCUGGAAGGCAGGGUCAGCCUGCGGUGAGAGCCUCUGGGCAGUGGUCCCUCUCUCUGUGACAGGUUUUGGAUGGCCAGUUCCAAUUUGUGGGAUCCUGGUGCAUUUGGGGGCUUUCCCAAGCCCCAGCAUCUCCAUUUAUGAAAGGUGGGUCCUAGGGAACCCAUCUCUCAAGCCCCUGGGGAGGACCAGGUGACCACGUGUAGGAAGAGUGUCCAGAGCAGCUAGCACUGUAUGUACAGGCCACCUGGAAGGCCCCUCGGCUGUCCUUGAGGCUUUGGGCUCCCCUCUGUGCCCCUUUGUCCACCUUCCCUGCCACCCCGUUCAUCCUGACCACAGCUUGAGGACGUCUAAAUUCUCAGGAGAGCUACCAGGUGGUCCCCACCAGCACCUCCCACCCUCUCUCAGCCAGCUUUCCCCAGCUGAAUCAGUCAGCUUGGUGUGGCUGCAACCAAAAUACCCGAUCAGACAACGUAGAGCAGGAAAAGGUCAUUUGGGGCCCAUGGGUUUCAGAGGUUCAGUCCAAGGUCGGCUGACUCCAUUGCUCGGGCCCAAGGUGAGGCAGAACAUCAUGGCGGAGGGGCGUGGUGGAGAGAGAGGGUGAGGUGCCAGGGACAACAUAUAAACCCUAGAGGAUGCCCCACAGUGACUUAAUUCCUCUAGCCACAGCAGUUCUUUCAGAUAACUAAUCCCACCCAUUGAUCAGGUCACAGCUGCCAUAAUCUAAGGCUUUCACUUCGGAACAUUUGUGCAGUGUCUCACACAGGAGAUUUUGGGAAGCACCUCAUUUCCAAACUGUGACACCCACAUUCCAGGCAGGCUCUAGAACCCUAGAAUUCCCGGGCUGGGGAUUUAGCUCAGUUGGUAGAGCACUUACCUAGCAUGCACAGAGCCCUGGCUUCAAUCCCAAGCACCACACACACACACACACACACACACACACACACAGAACCCUGGAACGCUGAGGUUCUAGGACUGUGGAAUGUUCUAGGCUCCAGCAGAGCCCAUUGGUCAUUCAGGCAGGCACGAGUCCCUGUGCCCUUGCACCCUGUCUCCUUGACUCCACCAUCUGCCUCCCCUUCCUUGGCCUCUCUCCCCCUUUUCCUCUUGAGACCAGAGAUGGCAGGAAUGUAUGUGCUCUUCCAUCCCCAUGUGUCCAUGAUGGUCCUCAGCUCUUCCUCCGCCAAGCCUUCCCUAGCCUGCCCCCACCCUGGUGACUUGACUGCCUUCUUCUGUGCCCCAGGGAGACUCAGAUGUGCACAUUCGUGACAGCCCAUCUCUCUGCCCUGUGAUAGCUGCCAGCGCCUCCUCCUGCUGGCUGAGCUCCUGCACAGCAGGGAACCCCCAGGUGGUCCUCUACACUCUAGGA